CGAGCCCAAGCUUAAAACCCAAAGGACUUGACGGUGUCCCAUCCCCCUAGAGGAGCCUGUUCUAUAAUCGAUUCUCCCCGAUUUACCCCACCAUCUCUUGAAUAUUCAGCCUGUAUACCUCCGUCAUAAGCUUACCGUGUGAGCGCAUUAGGUGAGCCUAAAGAUUUUACAUCCAUACGCCAGGUCAAGGUGCAGCCUACGAGCUGGGAAGAAAUGGGCUACAAUCUCUACCUUAGAACAAACAGAAGGUUAUAUGAAACACAGCCAUUGAAGGCGGAUUUAGUAGUAAAAAGAAAAUAGAGAGUUCUUUUUAAUUAGGCCCUGGGACGCGUACACACCGCCCGUCACCCUCUUCAAACAAUACAUCGACGUUAUUAACACCACACAAUCUUUUAGAAGAGGCAAGUCGUAACAUGGUAAGCGUACUGGAAAGUGCGCUUGGAACCAAAAUGUAAUUUAACAUAAACUAUCUUGCUUACACUAAGAAUAUGUCCGUGAAAUUCCGACCAUUUUGAGCCAAAACCACAGCCCCCACUCAAUCAAAUGACCUAAUCCUCAACAAUAAAAACUAAACAAAACAUUUUUCUAGCCCAGUAAAGGUGAUUAAAAAGUAUUUAGGAGCCACAACAUCAGUACCGCAAGGG
Molecule: ribosomal RNA, 644 nt
Filed under: Callulops doriae (Doria's callulops frog)
Lineage: Eukaryota; Metazoa; Chordata; Amphibia; Anura; Microhylidae
Description: partial 12S ribosomal RNA
Rfam family: Bacterial small subunit ribosomal RNA (bases 1-454)
Source: RNAcentral